This 225-nucleotide long non-coding RNA is filed under the name Marmota monax (woodchuck). Lineage: Eukaryota; Metazoa; Chordata; Mammalia; Rodentia; Sciuridae. The record is from RNAcentral.
ACCACCCAAAAUUGACUAGCUAACGUUCAGGAUAUUUGAAGUUACUUUUUAUACUUAUAAUUUCUUUGCCAUUCUAGCUGCAGGAUCAGAGAGGAAUUAAAUUUCAACCUAUGAAGUGUAUGUUCCUUUGUAGUGUAACAUUUCUAUCAAAUAGUGUGCAAGAGCCCCAGGUAUAAUGUAUGUUUGAUUAUAUUUCAACUCCAAGUGGUACCACAUUGAGAUUUC